RNAcentral lists this unclassified non-coding RNA (305 nucleotides) under Hevea brasiliensis (rubber tree). Lineage: Eukaryota; Viridiplantae; Streptophyta; Magnoliopsida; Malpighiales; Euphorbiaceae. The record is from RNAcentral.
CUAGACAUAGGCACACCAUGGAACAAUAUAAGAUUCAUUGUGUUUUUCUUCUCUGUCUCAAUACUUGGUAUACUAUACUUGGUGCGUGUGUGUGUUGUGCGGGUAACUUGCAACAAUUACAGAGGUCAGUAGAAGGUGUUCUAGGAUCCUACUGUUAAUCAAUGAAAUCAGUUCAAUCAAUCUGUAAUCACCAAAAUAAUUUUGGAUUCUGUUAAUUUCUUCCUUAGGAAUUCAAUGAAUUUCAUGAUCUGCACAUGAAUUUACUUAAUUUCCUUUAAAAAGUUGUAGUGGGAGGAGGGAGGGGG